RNAcentral lists this ribosomal RNA (478 nucleotides) under uncultured bacterium. RNAcentral's name for it is "bacterial SSU rRNA". It matches the Rfam family "Bacterial small subunit ribosomal RNA", at positions 28 to 507 of the family's 1533-position model. The record is from RNAcentral.
GAUGAACGCUGGCGGCGUGCCUAACACAUUCAAGUCGAACGGAGUUGUUUUGAUUAAUCCUUCGGGAAGCGUCAAGCCAACUUAGUGGCGGACGGGUGAGUAACGCGUGAGCAACCUGCCUCUGCGUGGGGGAUAACGACUGGAAACGGUCGCUAAUACCGCAUAAUGUAACCGGAUUGCAUGAUUUGGUUACCAAAGAUUUAUUGCGCAGAGAUGGGCUCGCGUCUGAUUAGAUAGUUGGUGAGGUAACGGCUCACCAAGUCGACGAUCAGUAGCCGGACUGAGAGGUUGAACGGCCACAUUGGAACUGAGAAACGGUCCAGACUCCUACGGGAGGCAGCAGUGGGGAAUAUUGGGCAAUGGGCGAAAGCCUGACCCAGCGACGCCGCGUGCGGAAGACGGUCUUCGGAUUGUAAACCGCUGUUGACAGGAGAAAUAUGACGGUAACCUGUCGACGGAAGUCACGGCUAACUACGUG